Microplitis demolitor is the source of this 1243-nucleotide long non-coding RNA. RefSeq lists it as uncharacterized. The record is from RefSeq and is a predicted model, not a curated record. Lineage: Eukaryota; Metazoa; Arthropoda; Insecta; Hymenoptera; Braconidae. The transcript has 3 exons.
ACUCGGUUUUAUCAGCAUUAUUUCCUUAUUUUUUUAUGGAUCAUCAAAAACUACCGGCUUCUGUAACACUGACUUGAUGUGGUUACAGGAACACUAUUUUGACGUCGUCAUCAACUGGCAGACUUUUUACGUGAUAUCAAUAUGCGUCCACGUGCAUUUCAUUCUCCAUACCUAAAUGUAUAUAUGUUAUACAUUUAUAUAUAGUAUUACUAUAAUUUAAUGGAUAUCUUGAUUCAGUUCAGUUGUAGCAUCGGGUAUCAAAUAAAAUUUCUGAGUUACCGCUGGUUGAUCACAAAACUUGAAUUUGAAUAAAUGUUUUAAUUACAGGAAAAAUACAAGAGGGAUAUUCAAAUAUUUGGAGUAAAGAAUAAUAAAAGUAGAGUGUACUGUUUUCUAUGUACAAAUAUUAUUUUAUUCAUACUUGUAACGAGAACGAGAGCAAGUUGAGGACGCGGGUAGAAUGGGUACUGAAGUAAAGUAAACUAGCGAUGUAUUAUAUGUAGUAGUAGCAUGUAGAGUAUGAGUACAGUUGUAUUGUGUAGAAGCGUGUGUCGAAGCCCUCAUAUCAGGAAAGAUCCCUCGUGAUGAACCGGCUUUUGAGCAUGAGCAUGAGCGUAGUUUAUAAAAUAGUGGAUGAUAUUAAACAAGAAAAGUGGGUGCGAUGAAGGUUUAAAUAUGUCCCUGCGCCUAUGCCUUGACCAGACCAACACUUGGUUGAUAAAAUAUGCAUGACGUUUAGUGCGGCUUCCGUUUCGUGUUUAUUACUCACUUCGCUGUCCUGCUUGCCCCUAGAGGCUGGGAUCCGUGAAAAAUAUUUUCAAUGACGCUAGAUCAUGAUCAAUGGAAUUGGAUCUGAUCUUUGGGCGGCACCAGUUGCAUUUUGUUUUUUAAUGAUUCUGAUAAAUAUUUUAAUUACUGAUAUUGUGAUCAUCUUUUUAUUAAUGAAUGAAUCCAAUAUUCUUAGUUCAAUUUAUUAUUAUUAUUUAAUUUAUCGAUAGUUUUGUAAAAAGAAUUGUCAUACUUUGUUUUAGAUGAAUUAUGAAAUAAUAAUUUAUAUGUAAAUUCCGAUAAUAUGAGGAUAAGACAUAUUUUUAAGCGAUAAAAUACUGAUAGCAGGGAAUCUAAUGGCUUAAAAUGAUUAAUGACAGAUUCUGAUAAUAUCAAGUAAAUAUAUUAAUUAUUUAAAUAACGAAAUUAAAAGUUGCGCACACAAUGAAUAAAAGCGAAAAAAUUAUUGUUUAAU